Molecule: ribosomal RNA, 220 nt
Filed under: uncultured bacterium
Lineage: Bacteria
Description: partial 16S ribosomal RNA
Rfam family: Bacterial small subunit ribosomal RNA
Source: RNAcentral
CGCGUAUCCAACCUGCCCAUCACUUGGGGAUAACCUUGCGAAAGUAAGACUAAUACCCAAUGACGUCUCUAGAAGACAUCUGAAGGAGAUUAAAGAUUUAUCGGUGAUGGAUGGGGAUGCGUCUGAUUAGCUUGUUGGCGGGGUAACGGCCCACCAAGGCAACGAUCAGUAGGGGUUCUGAGAGGAAGGUCCCCCACAUUGGAACUGAGACACGGUCCAA